RNAcentral lists this ribosomal RNA (865 nucleotides) under uncultured archaeon. Its description in RNAcentral is "bacterial SSU rRNA". It matches the Rfam family "Archaeal small subunit ribosomal RNA", at positions 1 to 847 of the family's 1478-position model. The record is from RNAcentral.
UUCCGGUUGAUCCUGCCGGAGCCUACUGCUAUCGGGUUCACACUAAGUCAUGCAAGUCGUACGCCGGACCUGGCCCGCGUGGCGCCCCGCUCAGUAACACGUGGUGAACCUACCCUUCCGCGGGGGAUAACCUCGCGAAAGUGAGGCUAAUCCCCCAUGGNNCUGNNGUACUGGAAUGUUNNUAGGGCUAAAGGCCUAGAAGGCACGGGCCUCUAGACCGCGGAAGGAUGGCACUGCGGCCGAUUAGGUUGUAGGUAGUGUAAAGGACUACCUAGCCGACGAUCGGUACGGGCCGUUAGCGCGGUAGCCCGGAGUGGGCCACUGAAACAGCGGGCCCCGGCCUACGGGCUGCAGCAGGCGGGAAAACUGCACACUCCGCGCAAGCGGGAUGCGGUGAACCCGAGUGAUCUCUUGGAAGAGAUCCUUUCGCCGAUGUAAACAGCCCGGCGAAUAAGGAGAGGGCAAGACUGGUGCCAGCCGCCGCGGUAACACCAGCUCUUCGAGUGGUGGGCGCGCUUACUGGGCCUAAAGCGUGCGUAGCGGGGCCGGUAAGCUCCAUGUAAAAACCCACGGCUUAACCGUGGGCUCGCAUGGGGUACUGCCGGCCUUGGGACCGGGAGAGGUGCGGGGUACUGCCGGCCUAGGGGUGAAAUCCUGUGAUCCGGGGUGGACCACCGGUGGCGAAGGCGUCCGACAGGAACGGGUCCGACGCUGAGGGACGACACCCAGGGGAGCGAACCGGAUUAGAUACCCGGGUAGUCCUGGGCGUAAACGAUGCCCGCUCGGUGUUGCUGCCGGCAUUUUGACCGGCAGCAGUGCCCAAGGGAAGCCGUUAAGCGGGCCGCCGGGGAAGUACGGCCGCAAG